This is a small nucleolar RNA of Hemicordylus capensis (graceful crag lizard), 128 nucleotides long. RefSeq annotates it as small nucleolar RNA SNORA69. The transcript has a single exon. The record is from RefSeq and is a predicted model, not a curated record. NCBI's taxonomy places the organism in Eukaryota, Metazoa, Chordata, Lepidosauria, Squamata, Cordylidae.
AAAGCAGGCCGCAAUUACAGUGCUUCAUUCUGUGGGAGUACUGCCAUGACCCUGCUGAGAGCAACACUGUGAGGACUGGAUCUCUCCUCUCCACUGGCGAAAUCACUCUCCUUUUCACAGUGACACGU